UACGUAGGGGGCUAGCGUUGUCCGGAAUCAUUGGGCGUAAAGAGCGUGUAGGCGGCCCGGUAAGUCCGCUGUAAAAGUCAAAGGCUCAACCUUUGAAUGUCAGUGGAUACUGCCGGGCUAGAGUCCGGAAGAGGCGAGUGGAACUCCUGGUGUAGCGGUGGAAUGCGCAGAUAUCAGGAGGAACACCAACGGCGAAGGCAACUCGCUGGGACGUUACUGACGCUGAGACGCGAAAGCGUGGGGAGCAAACAGG
This 253-nucleotide ribosomal RNA is filed under the name uncultured bacterium. RNAcentral's name for it is "partial 16S ribosomal RNA". It matches the Rfam family "Bacterial small subunit ribosomal RNA", at positions 524 to 776 of the family's 1533-position model. The record is from RNAcentral.